GGGACCAUAAAACUGAUUUUGUAUGCAAGAAAACUUGCUCAACAGGAUGUAGGCAAGUUGGGGGUUUAUCACAGCCUCUUGGCAGUUUUGAAGGUUUCUGUGGGGGCAGGUGAGAACCCAGGAUAAAAAAACACGAGCAGACAUGUGAAGGGGCUGGGCAGCGGAGAGGGGAGCUGGGCAGCUGAGAGGAGGCAGUUAGAGAGCUGGAGAAGCCAGAGGAGCCUGGGACAAGACAUGUGAGGAAUGAAGACCAGAGGGGAAGGCAGAGAUGAAGCCGAACUCUAUUCCCCUGCCUUUUUGACCCUGUCGCUGAGAAUCAUGUCAGAUCGGUUUCGCUGUAUUCCAUUCAAAACCGGUGCCAUUUCGCCAUUUCAUUCUUUGUCAAAACAGAACCCGGAGAAGACUCCUUAAAAGGGAACUUUUUUAGUAAGGUAUUAAAACAUUGAAAACAUUUGAGCAACUAAUGCAUUGCACAAUGGCAUAUAGAAUAGAAUUCUUCUCUACGUGGUCGGUGUGUGUGUCGAGCUGUUUACUUACAGUUGUGCAAUAACUGCACCUGGAAAACCAUAUGGAAUUUCAGUACAUACAUUCGAACAGACUUGCUGAAACACACACCACAGUCCUUUUUUCCCCUUACGAUUGUGAUUGACUGACAGCGCAUGCAGACAAUAAUGUCUUAGUGUCUCAGAUGCCAAUGUUAAUCCCUACAUUUCCUAACAUCUAUUACAUUUUCUAAUCUUUUCAUUUUUGCACGGUAAACGUGUUUGUAUUUCUAAACACACAGGAGUAGGUAGUAACAGUAGUUGACCCUGUCGGUAACAAAAUAAAUCAGUUAUCAUCUAGUAAUCCAUAGAAAUCAAUGGCUUUUAAAACCCUAUUCUGAAAUUAUAUUGUGCUUAGUAAAGUGGAAAAACUAAAAUGUCAUAAUUUAUAAUAUAUUUGUGGACAUGCUGAGUUUUCAGUUGUCCCUGCAACAUAGGAUUUGAUUGACUAUGUUCUGAUAAUAUCAGGUCCUAGGUUUCUAGCUCACAUCUUCUUCUGGCUUUUUCCGAGGUUAUUAGAACACAAUAGGAGGGAUAAGGAAGGAGAAAACAUAGUUCCUGGCCAGCCAGCCUGAAAUGGUGGCGGCUACAUAAAGGAAGACUAGUGUUGCACCUUUUACUCAAGGUAGAUAGACAAUAUAAAUAUUGAUGGAUAGAUUGGUAACUUGAAUUAUGGGAUUUUUUAAAAUACUGUACACCUACCUGUCUCUGAUGUAUCUUAACUCUUUAUGCUGCUGAUAUCAUGUAUGUGUGGGCUUCCAAUAAGCAUUUUAGUCAUGUUUUCAGCUUCAUGUAAUUCUUUUGGUUGCCUUCUCCCAUGUUAUUGGAACCAACGUUUCCAACUGAAGAGUUUCUCCAAAUUAUUUUACAUGCUGCUCUCUAUGUCUCUCUCCCCUUAUGUCCUUUAUGUUUCCAUGGCCCAAUCUAGUAUUGCAUAGCUAUGUAAUUUCUGAUCAUUUUUUAUAUUUUUCAAUACUGGAAAAUAUCCUUGUAGUAUAAAUAAUUUACUAAUUCACAUCCUUAAA
Xenopus laevis (African clawed frog) is the source of this 1567-nucleotide long non-coding RNA. RefSeq lists it as uncharacterized. The transcript is spliced from 2 exons. The record is from RefSeq and is a predicted model, not a curated record. NCBI's taxonomy places the organism in Eukaryota, Metazoa, Chordata, Amphibia, Anura, Pipidae.